AUUGAACGCUGGCGGCAGGCCUAACACAUGCAAGUCGAACGGCAGCACAGAAGAGCUUGCUCUUUGGGUGGCGAGUGGCGGACGGGUGAGUAAUGUCUGGGAAACUGCCCGAUGGAGGGGGAUAACUACUGGAAACGGUAGCUAAUACCGCAUAACGUCGCAAGACCAAAGUGGGGGACCUUCGGGCCUCACACCAUCGGAUGUGCCCAGAUGGGAUUAGCUAGUAGGUGGGGUAAUGGCUCACCUAGGCGACGAUCCCUAGCUGGUCUGAUAGGAUGACCAGCCACACUGGAACUGAGACACGGUCCAGACUGCUACGGGAGGCAGCAGUGGGGAAUAUUGCACAAUGGGCGCAAGCCUGAUGCAGCCAUGCCGCGUGUAUGAAGAAGGCCUUCGGGUUGUAAAGUACUUUCAGCGGGGAGGAAGGCGGUGAGGUUAAUAACCUUGCCGAUUGACGUUACCCGCAGAAGAAGCACCGGCUAACUCCGUGCCAGCCGCCGCCGUAA
This 506-nucleotide ribosomal RNA is filed under the name uncultured bacterium. Its description in RNAcentral is "partial 16S ribosomal RNA". It matches the Rfam family "Bacterial small subunit ribosomal RNA", at positions 30 to 523 of the family's 1533-position model. The record is from RNAcentral.